RNAcentral lists this ribosomal RNA (615 nucleotides) under Rhizopus arrhizus. RNAcentral describes it as "SSU rRNA". It matches the Rfam family "Eukaryotic small subunit ribosomal RNA", at positions 21 to 635 of the family's 1831-position model. The record is from RNAcentral. Lineage: Eukaryota; Fungi; Mucoromycota; Mucoromycetes; Mucorales; Rhizopodaceae.
AGUCAUAUGCUUGUCUCAAAGAUUAAGCCAUGCAUGUCUAAGUAUAAAUAACUUUAUAUUGUGAAACUGCGAAUGGCUCAUUAAAUCAGUUAUGAUCUACGUGACAAAUUCUUUACUACUUGGAUAACCGUGGUAAUUCUAGAGCUAAUACAUGCAAAAAAGCCCUGACUUACGAAGGGGUGCACUUAUUAGAUAAAACCAACGCGGGGUAAAACCUGUUUCUUGGUGAAUCAUAAUAAUUAAGCGGAUCGCAUGGCCUUGUGCCGGCGACGGUCCACUCGAUUUUCUGCCCUAUCAUGGUUGAGAUUGUAAGAUAGAGGCUUACAAUGCCUACAACGGGUAACGGGGAAUUAGGGUUCGAUUCCGGAGAGGGAGCCUGAGAAACGGCUACCACAUCCAAGGAAGGCAGCAGGCGCGCAAAUUACCCAAUCCCGACACGGGGAGGUAGUGACAAUACAUAACAAUGCAGGGCCUUUAAGGUCUUGCAAUUGGAAUGAGUACAAUUUAAAUCCCUUAACGAGGAUCAAUUGGAGGGCAAGUCUGGUGCCAGCAGCCGCGGUAAUUCCAGCUCCAAUAGCGUAUAUUAAAGUUGUUGCAGUUAAAACGUCCGUAGUC